RNAcentral lists this non-coding RNA (291 nucleotides) under uncultured Cycloclasticus sp. Lineage: Bacteria; Pseudomonadati; Pseudomonadota; Gammaproteobacteria; Thiotrichales; Piscirickettsiaceae. The record is from RNAcentral.
AUUAUUUUCAAGAAUCGUUUGUACCGAGCCUUUACCGAAACUUUGCUGCCCUAAAAUCACCGCACGCUUAUGAUCUUGCAAAGCACCCGCAACAAUUUCAGAGGCGGACGCCGAACCCCCAUUUAUCAACACAACGAUGGGCGCACCUUUAAGGAUAUCAUUGGGGCCUGCUUUAAAACUCAUCUUGGCAUGCUCAACCCGACCUUCUGUGUAAACAAUUAAACCUGAAUCUAAAAACGAAUCGCUGACUGACACUGCUGCAUUUAAAAGCCCACCCGGGUUAUUUCGUAA